This 465-nucleotide ribosomal RNA is filed under the name uncultured bacterium. RNAcentral's name for it is "partial 16S ribosomal RNA". It matches the Rfam family "Bacterial small subunit ribosomal RNA", at positions 338 to 795 of the family's 1533-position model. The record is from RNAcentral.
CCUACGGGAGACAGCAGUAGGGAAUCUUCCACAAUGGGCGCAAGCCUGAUGGAGCAACACCGCGUGAGUGAAGAAGGGUUUCGGCUCGUAAAGCUCUGUUGUUGGAGAAGAACGUGCGUGAGAGUAACUGUUCACGCACUGACGGUAUCCAACCAGAAAGUGAGGGCUAACUACGUGCCAGCAGCCGCGGGAAUACGGAGGUGGCAAGCGUUAUCCGGAUUUAUUGGGCGGAAAGCGGGCGCAGGCGGUUGCUUAGGUCUGAUGUGAAAGCCUUGGGGUUAACCGAAGAAGUGCAUCGGAAACCGGGGGUCUUGAGUGCAGAAGAGGACAGUGGAACUCCAUGUGUAGCGGUGGAAUGCGUAGAUAUAUGGAAGAACACCAGUGGCGAAGGCGGCUGUCUGGUCUGCAACUGACGCUGAGGCUCGAAAGCAUGGGUAGCGAACAGGAUUAGAUACCCUGGUAGUC